RNAcentral lists this ribosomal RNA (1072 nucleotides) under uncultured Streptococcus sp. RNAcentral's name for it is "bacterial SSU rRNA". It matches the Rfam family "Bacterial small subunit ribosomal RNA", at positions 50 to 1104 of the family's 1533-position model. Lineage: Bacteria; Bacillati; Bacillota; Bacilli; Lactobacillales; Streptococcaceae. The record is from RNAcentral.
UAUACUGCGAGUAGAACGCUGAAGAGAGGAGCUUGCUCUUCUUGGAUGAGUUGCGAACGCCCUUUUUAACGCGUAGGUAACCUGCCUUGUAGCGGGGGAUAACUAUUGGAAACGAUAGCUAAUACCGCAUAACAAUGGAUGACUCAUGUCAUUUAUUUGAAAGGGGCAAAUGCUCCACUACAAGAUGGACCUGCGUUGUAUUAGCUAGUAGGUGAGGUAACGGCUCACCUAGGCGACGAUACAUAGCCGACCUGAGAGGGUGAUCGGCCACACUGGGACUGAGACACGGCCCAGACUCCUACGGGAGGCAGCAGUAGGGAAUCUUCGGCAAUGGGGGCAACCCUGACCGAGCAACGCCGCGUGAGUGAAGAAGGUUUUCGGAUCGUAAAGCUCUGUUGUAAGUCAAGAACGAGUGUGAGAGUGGAAAGUUCACACUGUGACGGUAGCUUACCAGAAAGGGACGGCUAACUACGUGCCAGCAGCCGCGGUAAUACGUAGGUCCCGAGCGUUGUCCGGAUUUAUUGGGCGUAAAGCGAGCGCAGGCGGUUUGAUAAGUCUGAAGUUAAAGGCUGUGGCUCAACCAUAGUUCGCUUUGGAAACUGUCAAACUUGAGUGCAGAAGGGGAGAGUGGAAUUCCAUGUGUAGCGGUGAAAUGCGUAGAUAUAUGGAGGAACACCGGUGGCGAAAGCGGCUCUCUGGUCUGUAACUGACGCUGAGGCUCGAAAGCGUGGGGAGCGAACAGGAUUAGAUACCCUGGUAGUCCACGCCGUAAACGAUGAGUGCUAGGUGUUGGAUCCUUUCCGGGAUUCAGUGCCGCAGCUAACGCAUUAAGCACUCCGCCUGGGGAGUACGACCGCAAGGUUGAAACUCAAAGGAAUUGACGGGGGCCCGCACAAGCGGUGGAGCAUGUGGUUUAAUUCGAAGCAACGCGAAGAACCUUACCAGGUCUUGACAUCCCGAUGCUAUUUCUAGAGAUAGAAAGUUACUUCGGUACAUCGGUGACAGGUGGUGCAUGGUUGUCGUCAGCUCGUGUCGUGAGAUGUUGGGUUAAGUCCCGCAACGAGCGCAACCC